GUCAUUUUAAGGGAAUGGAUUACAGGAUGGGGGAAGGGGAGGUUCUGGUGGUCCUACGGUGUAAAUUUGGGGAGGUUUGGACGGGAGGCGGUGGUUCCAACGACCUUACUUUUGAAUAUUCGAGACAGAGGAGACUUAUUCGAUGAAAAUCAGUCACAGGAUGGGAAAGAGGGGGUAAUGGUGGUUUGAUAUUGUAAACUUGGGGAGAUUUGGUGACCGGCCGCCGUCGAGAGGCAAUUUCCGGCGGCGGCGUUAGGGUGGUAGACGGGUGGUCAGCUGUGGUCAAGGGGUGGUCAAUGGUGGUGUUAUAGUG
RNAcentral lists this long non-coding RNA (313 nucleotides) under Nicotiana benthamiana. RNAcentral describes it as "long non-coding RNA (NBEN_LNC003671)". Lineage: Eukaryota; Viridiplantae; Streptophyta; Magnoliopsida; Solanales; Solanaceae. The record is from RNAcentral.